Molecule: transfer RNA, 73 nt
Rfam family: tRNA
About the family: Transfer RNA (tRNA) molecules are approximately 80 nucleotides in length. Their secondary structure includes four short double-helical elements and three loops (D, anti-codon, and T loops).
UCCGGUGUAGCUCAGCUGGUAGAGCAGUCGACUGUUAAUCGACUUGUCGCAGGUUCGAGUCCUGCCGCCGGAG